CUUACACAUGCAAGUCGAACGGCAGCGGGUCCUUCGGGAUGCCGGCGAGUGGCGAACGGGUGAGUAAUGCAUCGGAACGUACCUGGUCGUGGGGGAUAACACAGCGAAAGUUGUGCUAAUACCGCAUGAGACCUGAGGGUGAAAGCGGGGGCUCGCAAGACCUCGCGCGACUGGAGCGGCCGAUGUCAGAUUAGCUAGUUGGUAGGGUAAAGGCCUACCAAGGCGACGAUCUGUAGCGGGUCUGAGAGGAUGAUCCGCCACACUGGGACUGAGACACGGCCCAGACUCCUACGGGAGGCAGCAGUGGGGAAUUUUGGACAAUGGGCGCAAGCCUGAUCCAGCCAUGCCGCGUGAGUGAAGAAGGCCUUCGGGUUGUAAAGCUCUUUCAGCCGGGAAGAAAUCGCACGGGCCAAUACCCUGUGCGGAUGACGGUACCGGAACAAGAAGCACCGGCUAACUACGUGCCAGCAGCCGCGGUAAUACGUAGGGUGCGAGCGUUAAUCGGAAUUACUGGGCGUAAAGCGUGCGCAGGCGGAUGCUUAAGUCAGAUGUGAAAUCCCCGAGCUUAACUUGGGAAUUGCAUUUGAAACUGGGUAUCUAGAGUGCGUCA
Molecule: ribosomal RNA, 610 nt
Filed under: uncultured Gammaproteobacteria bacterium
Lineage: Bacteria; Pseudomonadati; Pseudomonadota; Gammaproteobacteria
Description: bacterial SSU rRNA
Rfam family: Bacterial small subunit ribosomal RNA
Source: RNAcentral